This 392-nucleotide ribosomal RNA is filed under the name uncultured bacterium. RNAcentral describes it as "partial 16S ribosomal RNA". It matches the Rfam family "Bacterial small subunit ribosomal RNA", at positions 523 to 918 of the family's 1533-position model. The record is from RNAcentral.
AUACGUAUGUCGCAAGCGUUAUCCGGAUUUAUUGGGCGUAAAGCGCGUCUAGGCGGCUUAGUAAGUCUGAUGUGAAAAUGCGGGGCUCAACCCCGUAUUGCGUUGGAAACUGUUAAACUAGAGUACUGGAGAGGUAGGCGGAACUACAAGUGUAGAGGUGAAAUUCGUAGAUAUUUGUAGGAAUGCCGAUGGGGAAGCCAGCCUACUGGACAGAUACUGACGCUAAAGCGCGAAAGCGUGGGUAGCAAACAGGAUUAGAUACCCUGGUAGUCCACGCCGUAAACGAUGAUUACUAGGUGUUGGGGGUCGAACCUCAGCGCCCAAGCUAACGCGAUAAGUAAUCCGCCUGGGGAGUACGUACGCAAGUAUGAAACUCAAAGGAAUUGACGGGG